Molecule: ribosomal RNA, 870 nt
Filed under: Cellulomonas sp. MF02_Ba
Lineage: Bacteria; Bacillati; Actinomycetota; Actinomycetes; Micrococcales; Cellulomonadaceae
Description: bacterial SSU rRNA
Rfam family: Bacterial small subunit ribosomal RNA
Source: RNAcentral
CAGAGUUUUUCCUGUUCUGACGAACGCGGCGGCGUGCUUAUCACAUGCAAGUAGAACGGUGACCUCGGAGCUUGCUCUCGGCGAUCAGUGGCGAACGGGUGAGUAACACGUGAGCAACCUGCCCCCGACUCUGGGAUAACCCCGGGAAACAGCAGCUAAUACCGGAUAUGAGAUGCACAGGCAUCUGUGGAGUCUGAAAGGUAUUUCGGUCGGGGAUGGGCUCGCGGCCUAUCAGCUAGUUGGUGGGGUAGUGGCCUACCAAGGCGACGACGGGUAGCCGGCCUGAGAGGGCGACCGGCCACACUGGGACUGAGACACGGCCCAGACUCCUACGGGAGGCAGCAGUGGGGAAUAUUGCACAAUGGGCGCAAGCCUGAUGCAGCGACGCCGCGUGAGGGAUGACGGCCUUCGGGUUGUAAACCUCUUUCAGCAGGGAAGAAGCGAAAGUGACGGUACCUGCAGAAGAAGCGCCGGCUAACUACGUGCCAGCAGCCGCGGUAAUACGUAGGGCGCAAGCGUUGUCCGGAAUUAUUGGGCGUAAAGAGCUCGUAGGCGGUCUGUCGCGUCUGAUGUGAAAACUCGAGGCUCAACCUCGGGCCUGCAGUGGGUACGGGCAGACUAGAGUGCGGUAGGGGAGACUGGAAUUCCUGGUGUAGCGGUGGAAUGCGCAGAUAUCAGGAGGAACACCGAUGGCGAAGGCAGGUCUCUGGGCCGCAACUGACGCUGAGGAGCGAAAGCGUGGGGAGCGAACAGGAUUAGAUACCCUGGUAGUCCACGCCGUAAACGUUGGGCACUAGGUGUGGGGCUCAUUCCACGAGUUCCGUGCCGCUAGCAAACGCAUUAAGUGCCCCGCCUGGGAGACGCCNNCCG